AUUUUUCUAAAAACAAAAUACUUAUAUUCACAUCACAUUAAAACGUGGAAAGCAGUGAUAUCUCUCUUCAAAAUCAAACAAAGUGUAGUAAUCAUCUCCAAUCAAGAAGCACAGUGGCCGGUCCAUCUCCGGAGAGCAGUGAUAUCUCCGGCGAGCUCUAGCGCCUUGCGACGCUCCCCAUCCCUGAAACACCUGGUCUCACCGACCCAAGUCCGAGGGCUUCUUGAUCAUGGGUUUUUCAUUGCCAGAUUAGUAGGGGCUUAGAUUUUCUUUGGUUCUGGAUGGGAGAUAUGAUCUGAUGUGGUGUUUGGUCUGGGGGG
RNAcentral lists this long non-coding RNA (320 nucleotides) under Panax ginseng (ginseng). Its description in RNAcentral is "long non-coding RNA (PGIN_LNC005473)". Lineage: Eukaryota; Viridiplantae; Streptophyta; Magnoliopsida; Apiales; Araliaceae. The record is from RNAcentral.